GCCUUGGCCCUUUGGACAUGCUGUUGGAGCAGCGUGAGCAAUGAUGCCGUUUACUUCAGGUUAUAAAAACUGGGAGGAGGAAAUUGCCAGGUCAAAGUCACUUGCAAGAGGAGACUCCUCUCUUACUAAAGCAGCUGCCUCCGAGUCCAAAUGCUGAGUCCACCUCUGGGCUCUCUUUUGGUGCUUCUCUCCUCUUCAAUAAACUGGACCCUGAUCCAAAGACAGGUUUGUUCAUCAGCCUCGUGCUGUUUAUCAUCGGCGACGAGCCUUCUGGUGCUUGCUGGAUGUAACAGCAACUCCAUGUGGAAGCUGUGUCAGUUCCAGUGGAGGUGCUGUUACUUGCAGAGAUCUACCAAAGACGACAAGAAGCCAGCACGCAAUUGCUUUUAUUUUCCAUUCUGCUUUUUUUGUGAGUGUGGGUUACUGCAUCUUUGAAAGAUCGAUAUGUAGCUAAAGAGAGAUGGGGCACAAGGUGAUGACCUAUGAAUUGACAGCCAGUGAUUUCCAGCCUCUGCCUGUCAGUUCUGUAGGCCACUGCCGCGUUCGUCCUGCUGAGCGUGUACAGGUACACAACGGUUUUAUCUCCCACGUGCCUUCACUAAUAAAUAAACUGUGACUUUUUUGUGAUUUUUUUUUUUUUUUAAAGAUGGCAUUGCUGAAGAAAAGCAUAUACGGUGAAUAAAGCCUUAUUGUGUUGCUCAGCGAGUCUCUCAUUUUGCACUGAUGGUCUAUUCAAAUAACCACCUGUAACCUCAAACAGUGAAAUUGUAAAUGACGAGCUCACCCUGAAAGUGCGCCAGCAUAUUGCACGAAUAUAUUUAUGAUCUACUUAUCAUUACAGGACAAUGAUACUAACUGCAAAGAGGAAGUAAGCUCAGUGCAAAAGUGCUGAUGUGACACUGGACCAGUGCAGAACCUGAUGUGUCUGCAUGCCUGUAAAUUAAACUGGCAACAAGUAGUGCAGAUAAAUUUAACCCUACUAAAAAACCUGUCAUAAAUCAGUGAUUUCCAUAUUGGAAAUUAUAUAAUGAAUGUCUUCAUAAUAUAUAAUGUGGCAGGGAGCUAUAUAAUGUCCUCUUAAUUAAAAUACAACCUCCAGGAUAAUUGCAUUAUUAUAACAAUCAUCCUUAAACAAAGGAUGUUCACUUUUUGAAUGCACCGUUUUAAAUAUGUUGCAUGUUUGUGGAACUCUUAAAUGUUGUAUUGGAUAUUUUUAAUAAAUAAAACACAAUGAAUUCUUAUCAGAGAGUUUGUGUGUUCAUGACAUUCAGCCAUCUUCGACUGCUCCUCAUAAUACAGUGUGAGGCAGUGCAGGAGGAGUCUUGUUUGACUUUAACUGAGGUAAAAAGGUAAGCUACCAUCAGCUCUGCCUGUUUUUAUCAGGGGGUUAUGAUGCAGUGAUGAUCAGAGAAAUUCCUGCUUAAAAGAAAU
Long non-coding RNA from Astatotilapia calliptera (eastern happy), 1431 nucleotides. The record is from Ensembl. NCBI's taxonomy places the organism in Eukaryota, Metazoa, Chordata, Actinopteri, Cichliformes, Cichlidae.